UACGGAGGGGGCUAGCGUUGUUCGGAAUUACUGGGCGUAAAGCGCACGUAGGCGGCUUUGUAAGUUAGAGGUGAAAGCCCGGGGCUCAACUCCGGAAUUGCCUUUGAAACUGUCAGGCCCGAGUACGGGAGAGGUGAGUGGAAUUCCCAGUGUAGAGGUGAAAUUCGUAGAUAUUGGGAAGAACACCGGUGGCGAAGGCGGCUCACUGGCCCGUUUCUGACGCUGAGGCGCGAAAGCGUGGGGAGCAAACAGG
This 253-nucleotide ribosomal RNA is filed under the name uncultured prokaryote. RNAcentral describes it as "partial 16S ribosomal RNA". It matches the Rfam family "Bacterial small subunit ribosomal RNA", at positions 524 to 776 of the family's 1533-position model. The record is from RNAcentral.